CCUAGUAGUCAUACGCUCGUCUCAAGAUUAAGCCAUGCAUGUGUAAGUAUAAAUAGUUAACUUUGAAACUGCGAAUGGCUCAUUAUAUCAGUUAUAGUUUAUUUGAUGAAGAAUACUAAUUGGAUAACCGUAGUAAUUCUAGAGCUAAUACAUGCAUAAAGUCUUGUAGACUGCAUUUAUUAGAAUGAAAACCAUAGGUUUCGGCCUAUUCGUGAAUAAUAAUAACUAAUCAUAUCGUAUGCUUAUGUAACGAUGUGUCUUUCAAGUUUCUGCCCUAUCAGCUUUCGAUGGUAGUGUAUUGGACUACCAUGGCAGUAACGGGUAACGAAGAA
RNAcentral lists this ribosomal RNA (332 nucleotides) under Blastocystis sp. RNAcentral describes it as "SSU rRNA". It matches the Rfam family "Eukaryotic small subunit ribosomal RNA", at positions 16 to 369 of the family's 1831-position model. Lineage: Eukaryota; Bigyra; Opalinata; Blastocystidae. The record is from RNAcentral.